AGUACCAUGGACACGGUCUUACAUGCAGGCCUGGCACACUGAUAUAUAUAUACACUGGAUUGGAUUAAGCGUGGUGCCGUCACGCCAAUUGAACGUAACAAUUAUUGAGGUAACAAUGAGUACCUGCGUUUUUGCAAAACAAAGCAAUCAAAAUAUUGUGGACGAUCAUUUCACAAAUUUCCCGUGAAAGAUGUGUUGCGCCUUCAGCAGUGGUUAAAAGAAAUGAAGAGGAAGGACUGGAAGCCAAACCGAAAUAGCACAUUGUGUUCAGCUCAUUUUACAAAUGACUGCUUUGAUAGGACAGGAUUCCUAAUUACAUUGAAAAAAAUCAGUGUACCAACUAUAUUUGACAACCCAAAAUCAGAGUGUUCAUCUUGUCACCGAUUAAGGGAAUAUGGACGUGGCUAUUCAUUCUUCAAGUUCCCAUUGGAUGAACCUGAUAUUAUGAAGCAGUGGAUCGCAAAUAUAAACAUUGGACCGUGGUCUCCAUCAAGUGAUAGCUUUCUGUGUUCCGACCACUUUGAACCCUCUUGCUUUCAGAAGAAAAGUAAAAAUUAUAUAACUUUACCAAAAGGCAGUAUCCCAACGUUAUUUGGUGAAAACUUGCAGCAGACCGAAUUUCAGGAUGAAUCCGAUCGGCCCACCACAGUGAAUGUAACCAAAUUACAUGAGCACCUACACAUUUGUACCUGAUUUGCAUGCUCAGAUAUGUACAUCUUUUUUAUUUUCUUUUGAUUGUGCUUGUAACUUUUUCUUCAUGUGAAUGGAUUGUGGAUUGAUACUACUAAUUAUAUUGUUGUGGUUUAUCGCACGCAACUCUAUAAAAAUUCCUUAAUGUUUGCAAGGAAUGUUUUAUUCUCCAUAUUUUUGAAUAAAGUUUUUACUCACCCAAUUCGAUAUAGUUUAAUUCAAAACUUUUUUUACAUGUCUUAAGCUCCACUUUGAUGAUCAAUGGAUGGUAAAUGGAUUCCCUAACGGUUGAAUUAGUGUUAUACAAAUUUUUGAAUAAUCCGUAUGAAAUUCAGCCCACCAUAGGAUAAAGGAUAAUGGACGGAAACUUCUUAGAAUUGAGGACUUCUUUUGAACAUAAAGAAAAAUCACGCUUAAAUACAAGUUUUUCGUCAUAUUAUUUAAUGAUCUUUUACAUCAUAUAAUUGUAAAUAAUAAUAUACCUUCGAAAAAAUGA
Molecule: unclassified non-coding RNA, 1186 nt
Filed under: Neodiprion pinetum (white pine sawfly)
Lineage: Eukaryota; Metazoa; Arthropoda; Insecta; Hymenoptera; Diprionidae
Description: tHAP domain-containing protein 1-like, transcript variant X4
Source: RNAcentral